UGGGGAAUCUUGCGCAAUGGCCGAAAGGCUGACGCAGCGACGCCGCGUGGGGGAGGAAGGCCUUCGGGUUGUAAACCCCUGUUGCCCGGGACGAAAGCGCUCUAUUGGGGGCGUUGACGGUACCGGGUGAGGAAGCACCGGCUAACUCCGUGCCAGCAGCCGCGGUAAUACGGAGGGUGCAAGCGUUGUCCGGAAUCACUGGGCGUAAAGGGCGCGUAGGCGGCUCAUAAAGGCUGUGGUGAAAGUUCGGGGCUCAACCUCGAAUCGGCCGUGGCGACUUGUGGGCUGGAGCACUGUAGAGGCGGGUGGAAUUCCGGGUGUAGCGGUGGAAUGCGUAGAGAUCCGGAAGAACACCAGUGGCGAAGGCGGCCCGCUGGGCAGUGGCUGACGCUGAGGCGCGACAGCGUGGGGAGCAAACA
RNAcentral lists this ribosomal RNA (419 nucleotides) under uncultured Gemmatimonadota bacterium. RNAcentral's name for it is "partial 16S ribosomal RNA". It matches the Rfam family "Bacterial small subunit ribosomal RNA", at positions 355 to 774 of the family's 1533-position model. RNAcentral also lists the same sequence under 1 other name. Lineage: Bacteria; Pseudomonadati; Gemmatimonadota. The record is from RNAcentral.